AUACGUAGGGUGCAAGCGCUAAUCGGAAUUACUGGGCGUAAAGCGUGCGCAGGCGGUUUUGUAAGACAGAGGUGAAAUCCCCGGGCUCAACCUGGGAACUUCCUUUGUGACUGCAAGGCCAGAGUACGGCAGAGGGGGAUGGAAUUCCGCGGGUAGCAGGGAAAUGCGUAGAUAUGCGGAGGAACACCGAUGGCGAAGGCAAUCCCCUGGGCCUGUACUGACGCUCAUGCACGAAAGCGUGGGGAGCAAACAGGAUUAGAUACCCUGGUAGUCCACGCCCUAAACGAUGUCAACUGGUUGUUGGGUCUUCAUUGACUCAGUAACGAAGCUAACGCGUGAAGUUGACCGCCUGGGGAGUACGGCCGCAAGGUUAAAACUCAAAUGAAUUGACGGGG
RNAcentral lists this ribosomal RNA (395 nucleotides) under uncultured bacterium. Its description in RNAcentral is "partial 16S ribosomal RNA". It matches the Rfam family "Bacterial small subunit ribosomal RNA", at positions 523 to 918 of the family's 1533-position model. The record is from RNAcentral.